GGGUGGGACCGGCGCGGCGGGAUCCGCCGAACCCCGUCAGGUCCGAGAGGAAGCAGCGGUAAGGUGGUCACCCCGGGCGCCGCCGGCAAACCUGUCUGGA
RNAcentral lists this signal recognition particle RNA (100 nucleotides) under Chloroflexota bacterium. RNAcentral's name for it is "Chloroflexi bacterium (anaerobic digester metagenome) signal recognition particle sRNA small type". It matches the Rfam family "Bacterial small signal recognition particle RNA". From Rfam's summary of the family: The signal recognition particle (SRP) is a universally conserved ribonucleoprotein involved in the co-translational targeting of proteins to membranes. Archaeal SRP consists of a 7S RNA and homologues of the eukaryotic SRP19 and SRP54 proteins. In most bacteria, the SRP consists of a 4.5S RNA and the Ffh protein (a homologue of the eukaryotic SRP54 protein). Lineage: Bacteria; Bacillati; Chloroflexota. The record is from RNAcentral.